This 494-nucleotide ribosomal RNA is filed under the name Caulobacter sp. DYW1. RNAcentral describes it as "bacterial SSU rRNA". It matches the Rfam family "Bacterial small subunit ribosomal RNA", at positions 395 to 907 of the family's 1533-position model. The record is from RNAcentral. Lineage: Bacteria; Pseudomonadati; Pseudomonadota; Alphaproteobacteria; Caulobacterales; Caulobacteraceae.
UGCCGCGUGAAUGAUGAAGGUCUUAGGAUUGUAAAAUUCUUUCACCGGGGACGAUAAUGACGGUACCCGGAGAAGAAGCCCCGGCUAACUUCGUGCCAGCAGCCGCGGUAAUACGAAGGGGGCUAGCGUUGCUCGGAAUUACUGGGCGUAAAGGGCGCGUAGGCGGAUCGUUAAGUCAGAGGUGAAAUCCCAGGGCUCAACCCUGGAACUGCCUUUGAUACUGGCGAUCUUGAGUAUGAGAGAGGUAUGUGGAACUCCGAGUGUAGAGGUGAAAUUCGUAGAUAUUCGGAAGAACACCAGUGGCGAAGGCGACAUACUGGCUCAUUACUGACGCUGAGGCGCGAAAGCGUGGGGAGCAAACAGGAUUAGAUACCCUGGUAGUCCACGCCGUAAACGAUGAUUGCUAGUUGUCGGGCUGCAUGCAGUUCGGUGACGCAGCUAACGCAUUAAGCAAUCCGCCUGGGGAGUACGGUCGCAAGAUUAAAACUCAAAUG